Molecule: ribosomal RNA, 301 nt
Filed under: uncultured bacterium
Lineage: Bacteria
Description: partial 16S ribosomal RNA
Rfam family: Bacterial small subunit ribosomal RNA
Source: RNAcentral
CAGCAGCCGCGGGAAUACGAAGGGGGCUAGCGUUGUUCGGAUUAACUGGGCGUAAAGGGCGCGUAGGCGGGCUUUUAGGUCAGGGGUGAAAUCCCAAGGCUCAACCUUGGAACUGCCUUUGAUACUGGGAGUCUUGAGUCCGGGAGAGGUGAGUGGAACUGCGAGUGUAGAGGUGAAAUUCGUAGAUAUUCGCAAGAACACCAGUGGCGAAGGCGGCUCACUGGCCCGGUACUGACGCUGAGGCACGAAAGCGUGGGGAGCAAACAGGAUUAGAUACCCCUGUAGUCCCUGUCUCUUAUAC